UACGUAGGUGGCAAGCGUUGUCCGGAUUUACUGGGCGUAAAGAGCACGCAGGCGGUCGUUCAAGUCGAGUGUGAAAGCCCCCGGCUCAACUGGGGAGGGUCACUCGAUACUGAUCGACUCGAAGGCGGGAGAGGGAAGCGGAAUUCCCGGUGUAGUGGUGAAAUGCGUAGAUAUCGGGAGGAACACCAGUGGCGAAGGCGGCUUCCUGGCCCGUUCUUGACGCUCAUGUGCGAAAGCUAGGGGAGCAAACGGG
Molecule: ribosomal RNA, 253 nt
Filed under: uncultured bacterium
Lineage: Bacteria
Description: partial 16S ribosomal RNA
Rfam family: Bacterial small subunit ribosomal RNA
Source: RNAcentral